RNAcentral lists this ribosomal RNA (600 nucleotides) under Andinoacara coeruleopunctatus. Its description in RNAcentral is "partial 16S ribosomal RNA". It matches the Rfam family "Bacterial large subunit ribosomal RNA", at positions 1808 to 2611 of the family's 2925-position model. Lineage: Eukaryota; Metazoa; Chordata; Actinopteri; Cichliformes; Cichlidae. The record is from RNAcentral.
CAAAAACAUCGCCUCUUGAAACCCUAACAUAAGAGGUCCCGCCUGCCCAGUGACUAUAAGUUUAACGGCCGCGGUAUUUUGACCGUGCAAAGGUAGCGCAAUCACUUGUCUUUUAAAUGAAGACCUGUAUGAAUGGCAUCACGAGGGCUUAACUGUCUCCUUUCUCCUGUCAAUGAAAUUGAUCUCCCCGUGCAGAAGCGGGGAUAAUAACAUAAGACGAGAAGACCCUAUGGAGCUUUAGGCUCCAGAAUAGACUAUGUAAAACACCCUAACAUAAAAGAUAAAACCUAUUAGACCCUGUUCUACAUGCCUUUGGUUGGGGCGACCGCGGGGAAACAUAUAACCCCCAUGUGGACUAGGAGCAUAACCCUCCCACAACCCAGAGUUACAACUCUAAGUAACAGAACAUCUGACCAACUAAUGAUCCGGCACAGCCGAUCAACGAACCGAGUUACCCUAGGGAUAACAGCGCAAUCCCCUUUUAGAGUCCCUAUCGACAAGGGGGUUUACGACCUCGAUGUUGGAUCAGGACAUCCUAUUGGUGCAGCCGCUAUUAAGGGUUCGUUUGUUCAACGAUUAAAGUCCUACGUGAUCUGAGUU